RNAcentral lists this small nuclear RNA (104 nucleotides) under Mesocricetus auratus (golden hamster). Lineage: Eukaryota; Metazoa; Chordata; Mammalia; Rodentia; Cricetidae. The record is from RNAcentral.
UCACUUCAGAAGUGUGCAGACUAAACCUGGAACCAGAGAAGGAAGCUUAGGAUGGCCCCUGCACAAGGAUGACGGGAGAUACCAGAGAAUCCCGGGCACUGGCU